Xiphophorus hellerii (green swordtail) is the source of this 2576-nucleotide long non-coding RNA. RefSeq lists it as uncharacterized. The transcript has 3 exons. The record is from RefSeq and is a predicted model, not a curated record. Lineage: Eukaryota; Metazoa; Chordata; Actinopteri; Cyprinodontiformes; Poeciliidae.
AACCUUGCAUACAGCAAGGUUAAGCUUUUGAACUCCCCAAAAAAUGGAUAAAAUGCCUGGUUGUUCAUAAUUAGACUUCUGUCUGAACAAUUCACGACCCCAAAGUGACCGGCAUGCACACCUCACACCGCACCACAUUUUUUACAGAAAUAAUAUUGGCUGCCGCCGUGUACGGAUCGAUUUAAAGUUAUUCAGCAGUUGUUGCCUUUAGGGGUGAAGACUAUUGUGCUGUUUGCUUGGUGUGAUGAUACUUGAAAAUAUCAAGUCCACACUGAUUCAUGAGCAUAAAAACAAUGUUUGGACUUGUUGAGAUUUUCUCCUUGGCGUUAAGAUCAAUAUCUUACAGUUACUAUUUCAGCAAUAACAGACAGCAGGAAGGAAUAGCAGUGCUUCAUUUCAAGCAGACAAAGGGAAACAAUGAGUAGUAGCUCUUUAAUCUGAAGAUCUGCUGUUGUCAAGUCAACAUCCUCUCCGCCGAAUGUGUCUUCAGUACAAACAAAGCUGUAACUACAAGGCAGAGAGGCGACGCAGUUUCAGACUGCAUAUUCUUUAUAUAUUAUUGUUGUGUUUUUCUACUGGCUGCUCAAGCAGAAACUCCAUUAACCUCCUGCUUAUUUAUGUUCUGCAAAAAGCUUCGAGACAUCAUUAUGAAGUCAGAUGAAAUCCUCACUGUUCAGAAAUGAAAAAGAAAUGCAGAUUGACAUUUUAAAGGCAUCAUGUUCAUCUUGAAAUGCAGUUGGUACAUCUUUGUCCCUUUUUGACUUGAUCUAAUGGCUCCCUGUAUGUCUCACCAUUAUUCCCCAUUUCGGUGUCAGAACACAAAGAGCAGCUGAUUGUUUACUGGAUGACACUUUUUUGUCUUUCUCUCUUUUUUAACACUGAGGGUUUCGGCUGGAGUAGAACAUUGUUCAUACAGCGGCUUGUGUAAGUUUUUUAUUUUUUUACGUUUUGCCAUUUAACACCCACAGCCUUCCAUGUAUUUUAUUGAAAUGCUUUUCGGCAAACAAGCAGAAAGUAAAAGAGUAUUAAAAGUGGAGGAAGAAUCAUUAUUUUACAUAUGAACAGCAUGUGUUUCCAGCUAUAACCCAAAAUAACAUCCAAAAUAACAAUACAUUCAACAACCAACCAGAGCUACAAUAGCAUAGUUCCGAUGAAAAUACAGUCACGAUAGAAUGGCCUAGUCAAAGUCCACACCUAAAUUCAGUGGAAAUAUUUGAGCAAGAAUUUGAAAAUGACUCUCUGUCUGAGUUUUAGCUAUUUUCCAAAGAAGAAUGAGUAAAAAUCAGGCGUUUGAGCUGAAUUCAUAAACACUACUUUGCAUUUGUCUGUCACAUAAUAUUCCAAUAAAAUACAUUUAAAUGUAUGGCUAUAGAGUGACAAAAUGUGGAAAAGAAGUGAGGAACAAUUUGAUUCCAAGCAAUUGUAUUUAUCCUAAUAUGCUGAAAGUACAGAAGGUGGAAAAUGUUUUUCUGCUGAAGGAGUGGUGUUAAUCUGAAACUCUUCUGAGAGUUUCAGAUUAACUCUCAGAAGUUAAUCUGAGAGUUAAUCUGGCAGGUUGCUGCUCUGCUCUCUAUCUAUCUCUAUCCAGGGAAUUUUUUUAUCUGCGCUUCAAGAAAAAGUUUUCAACAUCUGUUAUGAGCAGAGUUGCAGUCGAAAAUGGAACCCCCUCCACUCUGUAUUUUGUAAGAUGUUCCUCUGAUUUAUCUUUUCCACUUACAUUUGGAAAUAACACGUGCAAAAUUAGUUUUUACACAGCAGAAAGCAGCUUGGAGAAAAUAUUUGCCGACGCCGAUCAGAAGAAAAUUGACAGCAGAACUUCUGCAAGCCUGCAGGGACAAUAUCUUCCAUGGAAAGCUCAUCGACACGUUGAGGACUGAAACCGGUUGCAGUUGAGGCUGAGUGUCAGAAUAAUCCAGUGACAGAAGUAGGACGGCUCAUGCAGUUGUCACGCUUCAAAAACAAACCCACAGAAAAAACCCCAAUACUGUCUCCAUCAUGAAAGGUUCAGCGGUCUUGGAUCAGUCAGCUCUCGAAGUGGGAAAAGCUUACAAACCUUUUCAAAGGCAGACAAUCAGCUGUGCAAAACGCCUGGGUGGACCGAGUGCCGCCUUGGAGACGCAGCUCCUCCUCAGAGCGGAUGUUUCCAAGCUUCAGAGCUUUCUCCUCACAGAGCUAAAAGCCUUUUGAUUCAAUCUCGAACUAAUUGCUUAGCUUGCAUCACCAGAAGGCAAGGUAAGCCAUUUUUUGGGUAUUGAAAUUUUCAGGAUGGUUUUUUUAAAAAUCAUACACAUAAUCGUAGCGAUAAAAAUUUAGUCUUAUAUGUUCAAUAUUUAAGUUUGUUUCUAAUGACACAUACUUUUCAAACAAGGUGCCCUUUUUCCACCGGAGCAACUGUUCCCAAAAUGUCUGUGCACGCCACUGCUGCCCACCCACUAUAGAGCCUUUAUUCAAUUAUAAGGAAAAACCAUCCAAGUCGUGUAGAGUUGAGUUGCGUCGACAGGUCGGUGGAAAUUUUCAUAAGUGAUGUUCUUGAUUAGGGAGUGAUUUGAGUGUGAACAGUUUGGUAAUUAAGGCUG